GAUCAUUUGUGAUGGUUUGGUCUUCAGAGGUCUGGUCAGCAGCCUGGUUUCCCUGAUAUUCUGCCAUGGAGUCGAGUGCAGCACAAGUGCCCCGCGUGCACUUGAUGUCAGAUGAAAGGGGAGAGUCUGAAGAGAAAUGUCAGAGGGAACCCACAUGCUGCACAAUGGAAUAUGAUAUGAUUUGUGAUGUAAAUUACCAUUUUAGAUGUUACAACAUCCAUCAGUUCAACUCAGAUUUUCCAUGGAAUAGAUGAAAAUUUACUGAACAUGAAUUCUCAGGCCAUCCAAGAUGUAGAUGAGUUUGUUUCUUCAUCAGAACAGAUUUGGAGAAAUGUAUUAUAUCCCUUUACUUGUCUACGGAUCAUAUACUCACCUCAGGCCAU
Onychostoma macrolepis is the source of this 383-nucleotide long non-coding RNA. RefSeq lists it as uncharacterized. NCBI's taxonomy places the organism in Eukaryota, Metazoa, Chordata, Actinopteri, Cypriniformes, Cyprinidae. The transcript is spliced from 3 exons. The record is from RefSeq and is a predicted model, not a curated record.